AAGUGGAGCAAUUCAUGAGUAAAGUGGCGACCGGGUGAGUAACACGUGACUACCUACCUUCUAGUGGGGGAUAACUCCGAGAAAUCGGAGCUAAUACCGCAUAACAUCGCAAGAUCAAAGCAGCAAUGCGCUGGAAGAGGGGGUCGCGGCUGAUUAGCUUGUUGGCGGGGUAAUGGCCCACCAAGGCAAAGAUCGGUAUCCGGCCUGAGAGGGCGCACGGACACACUGGAACUGAAACACGGUCCAGACUCCUACGGGAGGCAGCAGUGGGGAAUUUUGCGCAAUGGGGGAAACCCUGACGCAGCAACGCCGCGUGGAGGAUGAAGUCCCUUGGG
This 335-nucleotide ribosomal RNA is filed under the name uncultured bacterium. RNAcentral describes it as "bacterial SSU rRNA". It matches the Rfam family "Bacterial small subunit ribosomal RNA", at positions 72 to 422 of the family's 1533-position model. The record is from RNAcentral.